CUACGGGAUGCUGCAGUAGGGAAUAUUGGGCAAUGGGCGCAAGCCUGACCCAGCAACGCCGCGUGCGCGAAGAAGGCCUUCGGGUCGUAAAGCGCUUUUCUGAGGGAUGAGAAAGGACAGUACCUCAGGAAUAAGCCUCGGCUAACUACGUGCCAGCAGCCGCGGUAAAACGUAGGAGGCGAGCGUUAUCCGGAUUUACUGGGCGUAAAGCGUGUGCAGGCGGUCUGGCAAGUUGGAUGUGAAAGCUCCCGGCUCAACUGGGAGAGGUCGUUCAAAACUACCGGACUAGAGUGUAUCAGAGGGAGAUGGAAUUCCCGGUGUAGUGGUGAAAUGCGUAGAUAUCGGGAGGAACACCAGUGGCGAAAGCGAUCUUCUGGGAUACUACUGACGCUCAGACACGAAAGCUAAGGUAGCGAACGGGAUUAGAUACCCCCGUAGUC
This 440-nucleotide ribosomal RNA is filed under the name uncultured bacterium. RNAcentral describes it as "partial 16S ribosomal RNA". It matches the Rfam family "Bacterial small subunit ribosomal RNA", at positions 339 to 795 of the family's 1533-position model. The record is from RNAcentral.